This 106-nucleotide small nucleolar RNA is filed under the name Amborella trichopoda. RNAcentral's name for it is "Small nucleolar RNA snoR97". It matches the Rfam family "Small nucleolar RNA snoR97". The record is from Rfam by way of RNAcentral. Lineage: Eukaryota; Viridiplantae; Streptophyta; Magnoliopsida; Amborellales; Amborellaceae.
UACUUAAUAUGGGCAUUAAGGCUGAAAAACUCAAAAACCAUUGUGUUGUCAUCAGCUUCUUUCCUGUUUGUCACCAGGAAUGGAGUUAAAUAACAACACGACAUUA